AAUGGCUGCAGUAAUUUGACUGUACAAAGGUAGCAUAAUCAUUAGUUUUUUAAUUAAAAGCUUGUAUGAAAGGUUGGACGAAAUAAAAUCUGUCUCUUUUUAAUAUAAUUAGAAUUUAAUAUUUAAGUUAAAAAGCUUAAAUAAAUUUAAAAGACGAGAAGACCCUAUAGAGUUUAAUAAUUUUUUUUUAUUAAUUAAUUUAGAUUUAUUUAUUUUAUUUUAAGAAAAUUAUUUUAUUGGGGUAAUAGAAAGAUUUAAAUAAUUCUUUUUUAAUUAAAUCAUUAAUUUAUGAAAAUUUAUGAUCCAUUGAAUUUUGAUUAUAAGAUUAAAUUACCUUAGGGAUAACAGCGUAAUUUUUUUUAAGAGUUCAUAUCGAUAAAAAAGUUUGCGACCUCGAUGUUGGAUUAAAGAUUAGUUUAGGUGUAGAAGUUUAAAUUUUUGGUCUGUUCGACCAUUGAAUCUUUACAUGAUCUGAGUUCAAACCGGUGUAAGCCAGGUUGGUUUCUAUCUUUAAAAAGAUUUGAUAUUUUAGUACGAAAGGACCAAAUAUUAUAUAUAUAAAUAUUUAAAUAUUGAAUAUU
This 581-nucleotide ribosomal RNA is filed under the name Trechus lallemantii. RNAcentral describes it as "partial 16S ribosomal RNA". The stretch from base 341 to 499 matches the Rfam family "Bacterial large subunit ribosomal RNA", at positions 2473 to 2632 of the family's 2925-position model. Lineage: Eukaryota; Metazoa; Arthropoda; Insecta; Coleoptera; Carabidae. The record is from RNAcentral.